This 214-nucleotide long non-coding RNA is filed under the name Lathyrus oleraceus (garden pea). Its description in RNAcentral is "Pisum sativum (pea) long non-coding RNA (PSAT_LNC013465)". The record is from RNAcentral. Lineage: Eukaryota; Viridiplantae; Streptophyta; Magnoliopsida; Fabales; Fabaceae.
GGAGCGGCUGUCAACUUAAUGUUGCAUUCAUUGUUUAAGAAGAUGGGGCAAACAGAUGCAAACUUUCGACCUCACAACAUGGUCCUCUCUGUUAGACGAUAGACCUAGAUCUAGAGAGGGGUGAAUAAAUCCCAAGUUAAAAUUUUAUUCGAAAAUUUGAUUUAGAAAUGUUUAUGAUGCGGAAGCAAGUUUCAAAUAUUCCCAGAUUCAAAAU